Molecule: transfer RNA, 65 nt
Filed under: Arbanatus sp.
Lineage: Eukaryota; Metazoa; Arthropoda; Insecta; Hemiptera; Aradidae
Description: tRNA-Asn
Source: RNAcentral
UUAAUUGAAGCCAAAGUAGAGGCUUUUCAUUGUUAAUGAAAAAAGUGAUUUAUCAUCCGAUUAAA